Molecule: long non-coding RNA, 1611 nt
Organism: Chroicocephalus ridibundus (black-headed gull)
Lineage: Eukaryota; Metazoa; Chordata; Aves; Charadriiformes; Laridae
Exons: 3
Source: RefSeq, a predicted model, not a curated record
CAGCUCUGUAGAAAUGACUGUGAAAGCUAUGUCAGUAGGUCAGUCUUAUGGUUUCCCAGUGACAAGACACGUAAUUGUGCCUGGGUGAAAUGACACGUGGUCAGCACCAUUUGAAGAGCUACCCGCCCUGAUUUCAAAAGGUUUCUGACACUGGACAUCAACUAGGAUUAAUACAAAACCUGAACCUCAGCAGCACAAGGGUAUCGUAUCCCAGCCUAUGCUGAGCCUAUGGUACCAGUAAAGAGCCUUUUCCCCUCACUCUGCUUCACGGCAACCAAAUUCUGUCUUUAAAAUAAUUCUGCAAAGAGAUUACCUCUUUCAUCAGUCUGGCGUGCUUACAGGCUGCAGAAGACAACAACACUCAGUGCCAGAAAAAACACACCUCUUUAUUUCACAGAAGGAAAUUAGAAGCAUAGACGUGAGAGGACAUUCCAAGGAACAAGGAUCUGCCCACCUGUAUUCACCAUUUCCAAGCAAUGGGAAAGCCCCCCAGUAGAGGGGAAAGCCACCUGCAGGACAUCCAGACCCUGCAUGGGGCCAUCAGUUGGGCUUCUUAUUCAAGUGCCUUUACCCGCAGGAAUAAAGGUACAACCAGGAAGAGGAUGAAAUCCUGGUAUUUCUGGGGUCCAUUAUUUUAUUCACAGAUGACGGCAAGCAGCCCAGUAAUUUUGUGACUACCUCAGCAGUAAACUUGAAGCAGAUCAAAUCACAGACUAGGCACAAUCUGAGAAUGGACAGGGAUCACUAGACACAGAGGUUUUACCUGCCUGCCUUUAGUAUGGCCCACAGCUCUUACCAAUGCCAUUUACAUACCAUCACAAAAACUCCCACUCGACAGACGCAUCUUAAGGACUCAAAAAAUAGCAAAACCAUUUUCUCCUUCCCCAGGCCCCAAAGCGUGGCACGCAAUUCCAGGUGCUCACCUUAAUCUUCCACCAACUUCAACAGCAACAUUCAAACAGCCCCUGAUCCACGUGAUUUGCCGUGUACGAAAUACAACACAAGCUUAAAUUUCCAGAGUAUUGAUGCCAACUCUAUACACGCUGGCAGAAGUUUCUAUCACACAACUGGCUUAAAAGGAGAAUUUGUCCCCACAGCUGUAGAUCCAAAUAACUGUCAAACAGAUGAUGCUGCACAGAUUUUUGCCACCUUUCAGCAACAUAGCAAAUGCCUUUUACCUUGUCAUGACAGCUAAGAAGAGGUGCAAGGGCUCUUGGAAGCCACGUUCAUAAUUUUAGUUAUCUGACCACAGGCGCCAAUGCUGACAGCACUCCUAUGCAAAGGGCACACUGCUCUUGCCACACUCGCCCCUGGCACCCUCUCUGCAUGAAAUUUAACACACAGAACAAGAGACUGAUGAUCACGUUCAUUCAGCUGGACCUGCAGACCUUGUCAAGCAGACUGCUUAGCCCAAGGAGGGCAAAUAAAUGUGAGUAUUGAAAGGACGGCAGUCUGAAUCAGAAGCACGACACGUAGGCUCAGUCCAAAGUUACAGGUGCUCUUUACAAGCGCUUUAGUUAGUUAUCGGUUUGGCUCCAGACUUUGUCCAGCACAUCUCCUGAAAAGCAACACGAGCACCACCUUGCAGCAAGUGGAGGCACUGGCAGUUAU